UCCCUGGUGGCUCAAAAGGUAAAGAAUCCACCUACAACGUGGGAUACCUAGGUUUGAUUCCUAGGUUGGGAA
Molecule: transfer RNA, 72 nt
Filed under: Ovis aries (sheep)
Lineage: Eukaryota; Metazoa; Chordata; Mammalia; Artiodactyla; Bovidae
Rfam family: tRNA
About the family: Transfer RNA (tRNA) molecules are approximately 80 nucleotides in length. Their secondary structure includes four short double-helical elements and three loops (D, anti-codon, and T loops).
Source: Rfam by way of RNAcentral